Molecule: ribosomal RNA, 1311 nt
Filed under: Gondwanalimnadia sp. MT-2020
Lineage: Eukaryota; Metazoa; Arthropoda; Branchiopoda; Diplostraca; Limnadiidae
Description: 16S ribosomal RNA
Rfam family: Eukaryotic large subunit ribosomal RNA (bases 624-1311)
Source: RNAcentral
GUAAUUGACUUAUUAUUUCUUUUUAAAUAAAUCAUUAUAUAAUUUAUACGCUAAGUAUGUGUUACAAAAAAGUAUUUUAAAAUGAUAGAUGAAAGUACUGUAAAGGAAAGUUGAAAAAAUGAAAAUUUUUACUUUUUGAAGAAGAUAUCAAAAAUCGUACCUUGUGUAUCAGGGGGUUGCAAAAUUUCCUAUAAAUUUAGACCUCCCGAAAGAAAAUGAGCUAAUUUUAAGAAAGAGUUACUGUAGCAAAAGUAUUCUAAACUUUAAAUUAGAAGUAAAACAUCAACCGUAUUUUCUUUAUCUGGUUUCUUAAGAAACGAAUUUAAUUCGACUCACGUUAGUAUCUUUAGCCAUAAUAAUUUUUAUAUUAACUUGAAUAAACUUUUAGAGGGAUGAGCUUCUAAAAGAAUUGCUAAAAGUUUUACCUUAUUAAUAUAUUGUUAAGGCUUAGAAACAGCCAUAAUUUAUGUACGUUACAGUAUAAUACUUUUUAAUAAUAUUUCCCAAACUUUAGUAAUCUAUUAAGAAACCUAUAAAAACAAUUUUAUAGAGAUAUAAUGCAUCCAUGAGUACAAUAUUAUGUGAUUUUUUAAAACUAGACUAAAAAUAAACUAUUUUUAUAAAAGAUUAGUGAAAGGAACUCGGCAAAACCUUUUCCGACUGUUUAACAAAAACAUCUCCUAAAGUUAAAAUUUUAGGUAAGACCUGCCCAAUGUUUUUAAUCAAUGGCCGCGGUAUUUUGACCGUGCGAAGGUAGCAUAAUCAUUAGUCUCUUAAUUAGAGGCUGGCAUGAACGGUUUAACGAGAAAAGAUCUGUCUCUCACUAAAGACUGGAAUUUUAUUAUUAAGUGAAAAAGCUUAAAUGAAUCUGAAGGACGAUAAGACCCUAUAGAGCUUAAUUUCCUAUAAGUAAAAUUAAUACUAGAGCAAUAAUUUUAUACUGUAAAGAAAUUUUGUUGGGGCGACAAUAAGACAAAUAAUAACUCUUAUUCCUUUUUACAUAAAUAAAUGACUUAUUGAUCCUUAAAGAAAGAUCAUAAGAACAAGUUACCUUAGGGAUAACAGCGUAAUCCUUUUUAAGAGUUCAUAUCGACAAAAGGGUUUGCGACCUCGAUGUUGGAUUAAGAAUUUGCCAAGGUGUAGCAGUUUUGGUAAAAGGUCUGUUCGACCUUUAAUAUCUUACAUGAUCUGAGUUCAAACCGGCGUGAGCCAGGUUGGUUUCUAUCCUCAGAAACUAUUAUUCUACUCUAGUACGAAAGGACCGAGUAGUUUAGAGUAUUCUAAUAUUUUUGAUGGACUUUAAAAGCUUGU